GGACGAUGCCUCAAGAGAAAGUGUGUGUCCCGUGCCCGAAACAACCAACAGUGGUUCAGCCUUGAGCGAGCCUCCCCUCUGAGCAACAUGGAACUGUCCGAAUCAUGUACUGCGCCCCUUUCGGCCAUCGCUUCGGCCAUGCGCUCCGAGGCUGAAGAGAGCCGCGUCUACCACAACCUGGAUGCAGGGAACUUCUCCGAAGGGGUG
This 207-nucleotide long non-coding RNA is filed under the name Ixodes scapularis (black-legged tick). Its description in RNAcentral is "uncharacterized LOC121838090, transcript variant X2". Lineage: Eukaryota; Metazoa; Arthropoda; Arachnida; Ixodida; Ixodidae. The record is from RNAcentral.